GUAGUAUCUUAGGGAGCACAUGUACUAAAAUUGGGAUGGUAUGGCAAAGAUUGGAAUGGCUUUUGCACAAGGAAGAAUGACAUAAAAAAUUGUGACAUACUCCAUAUUUUU
This is a small nuclear RNA of Cricetulus griseus (Chinese hamster), 111 nucleotides long. NCBI's taxonomy places the organism in Eukaryota, Metazoa, Chordata, Mammalia, Rodentia, Cricetidae. The record is from Ensembl.